RNAcentral lists this transfer RNA (63 nucleotides) under Marmota monax (woodchuck). It matches the Rfam family "tRNA", at positions 1 to 62 of the family's 71-position model. From Rfam's summary of the family: Transfer RNA (tRNA) molecules are approximately 80 nucleotides in length. Their secondary structure includes four short double-helical elements and three loops (D, anti-codon, and T loops). RNAcentral also lists the same sequence under 3 other names. The record is from Rfam by way of RNAcentral. Lineage: Eukaryota; Metazoa; Chordata; Mammalia; Rodentia; Sciuridae.
GGGGAUGGAGCUCAGUGGCAGAGCAUUUGCCUAGCAUGCAUGUGGCCAUGGGUUCCAUCCCCA